This 500-nucleotide ribosomal RNA is filed under the name uncultured Glomeromycotina. Its description in RNAcentral is "partial small subunit ribosomal RNA". It matches the Rfam family "Eukaryotic small subunit ribosomal RNA", at positions 591 to 1092 of the family's 1831-position model. Lineage: Eukaryota; Fungi; Glomeromycota. The record is from RNAcentral.
CCAAUAGCGUAUAUUAAAGUUGUUGCAGUUAAAAAGCUCGUAGUUGAACCUCGGGAUCAAUUGAUUGGUCAUGCCAUUGGUAUGUACUGGUCAUAUUGGUUCUCACCUUCUAAGGAACCUUAAUGUCAUUAAUUUGAUGUUUUGGGGAAUUAGGACUGUUACCUUGAAGAAAUUAGAGUGUUUAAAGCAGGCUAACGCUUGAAUACAUUAGCAUGGAAUAAUGAAAUAGGACAUCGCAUUCUAUUUUGUUGGUUUCUAGGAUCGAUGUAAUGAUUAAUAGGGAUAGUUGGGGGCAUUAGUAUUCAAUUGUCAGAGGUGAAAUUCUUGGAUUUAUUGAAGACUAACUACUGCGAAAGCAUUUGCCAAGGAUGUUUUCAUUAAUCAAGAACGAAAGUUAGGGGAUCGAAGACGAUCAGAUACCGUCGUAGUCUUAACCAUAAACUAUGCCGACUAGGGAUCGGAUGAUGUUGAUUUUUUAAUGACUCAUUCGGCACCUUACG